CCUACGGGAGGCAGCAGUGGGGAAUAUUGCACAAUGGGGGAAACCCUGAUGCAGCGACGCCGCGUGAGUGAGGAAGUAUUUCGGUACGUAAAGCUCUAUCAGCAGGGAAGAAAAUGACGGUACCUGACUAAGAAGCCCCGGCUAACUACGUGCCAGCAGCCGCGGUAAUACGAAGGGGGCAAGCGUUAUCCGGAUUUACUGGGUGUAAAGGGAGCGGAGACGGUUAAGCAAGUCAGAAGUGAAAGCCCAGGGCUCAACCUUGGGACUGCUUUUGAAACUGCGUAGCUAGAGUGCAGGAGAGGGAAGCGGAAUUCCUAGUGUAGCGGUGAAAUGCGUAGAUAUGAGGAGGAACACCAGUGGCGAAGGCGGCUUACUGGACUGUAACUGACGUUGAGGCUCGAAAGCGUGGGGAGCAAACAGGAUUAGAUACCCCGGUAGUC
Molecule: ribosomal RNA, 440 nt
Filed under: uncultured bacterium
Lineage: Bacteria
Description: partial 16S ribosomal RNA
Rfam family: Bacterial small subunit ribosomal RNA
Source: RNAcentral